This is a non-coding RNA of Vicia faba (fava bean), 231 nucleotides long. The record is from the annotation of a GenBank genome assembly. Lineage: Eukaryota; Viridiplantae; Streptophyta; Magnoliopsida; Fabales; Fabaceae.
AUGCAAUUAACUCAAGAAGUGUUAAGGAAUUUACCGAAAAUUCAUCCAAGCAAGGGAAUCGGAGAAGAAGUGGAGUUUCGGUGGAGAGGACUUGACGGAGGGAGUACAUGUGCACGAAAGAGAUCAACGCGUGAAGGAGUUCCGAUCAGAGGGAGUAUGCCACAAUUAAGCGAUAGACGGGAAGGACUUAGCGCAAUCAAGGGAAGGCCAGAGGAGGCGGCGUCGGGCUGA